CCUACGGGAGGCAGCAGUCGAGAAUCAUUCACAAUGGGGGAAACCCUGAUGGUGCGACGCCGCGUGGGGGAAUGAAGGUCUUCGGAUUGUAAACCCCUGUCAUGUGGGAGCAAAUUAAAAAGAUAGUACCACAAGAGGAAGAGACGGCUAACUCUGUGCCAGCAGCCGCGGUAAUACAGCGGUCUCAAGCGUUGUUCGGAAUCACUGGGCGUAAGGGGUGCGUAGGCUGUUUUGUAAGUCGUGUGUGAAGGGCGCGGGCUCAACCCGCGGACGGCACAUGAUACUGCGAGACUAGAGUAAUGGAGGGGGAACCGGAAUUCUCGGUGUAGCAGUGAAAUGCGUAGAUAUCGAGAGGAACACUCGUGGCGAAGGCGGGUUCCUGGACAUUAACUGACGCUGAGGCACGAAGGCCAGGGGAGCGAAAGGGAUUAGAUACCCCAGUAGUC
Molecule: ribosomal RNA, 446 nt
Filed under: uncultured bacterium
Lineage: Bacteria
Description: partial 16S ribosomal RNA
Rfam family: Bacterial small subunit ribosomal RNA
Source: RNAcentral